GGGGAAUAUUGCACAAUGGAGGCAACUCUGAUGCAGCAAUGCCGCGUGUGUGAAGAAGGCCUUAGGGUUGUAAAGCACUUUCAGACGUGAGGAAAAGCGAUGAGUUAAUAACU
Molecule: ribosomal RNA, 113 nt
Filed under: uncultured bacterium
Lineage: Bacteria
Description: partial 16S ribosomal RNA
Rfam family: Bacterial small subunit ribosomal RNA
Source: RNAcentral